Non-coding RNA from Macaca mulatta (Rhesus monkey), 3845 nucleotides. The record is from the annotation of a RefSeq genome assembly. NCBI's taxonomy places the organism in Eukaryota, Metazoa, Chordata, Mammalia, Primates, Cercopithecidae.
AGGAUUUGUAUUUCAGAUCCAUCUUGACUCCCAUCUCUACCUGCGUACCAGAUGCUUUCCUCUCUAUGAUUUUUCCUCAUAUUGAACCCUAAAGUCGUCUUAGCCACAGCCUGCAUUUCCUAUAUUCACAGUCGCCCUCCAGUACCUUGCUGGGUUUCUCCUCCCCGACCUCCCUGCCCUUCUCUACUCUUGCCAUGUUGAGAGACUCCAAAGUCCACUCCUGUGCCCUGGGCUGGAGACUUCCUUUCUGUAGUGGUCAACACCUACCUGUGCUUCAGAUCUCAGCAUGAUCAGCCCUGGUGAUAAUCACCACUAUGCUUCCCUCGGCUCCCAGCUGAGGUCAGUUUCCCUUUAAUAAUCUCUCAUGCUAUCAUGUAUCUGUUAGUCAGUAGAAUUUAGCACAAUUGGAAUCUUCCAGAUACUUUAAACCCCAUGAAGACCAAGGCUAUGUCUGCUUUAUAUCCCAACAGCAGUGCCUGGCACAGGGGGAGACCCAUUUCAAAGAGAAUGGAUGAGUCAAUGACGCAGUGAAUGAUGGGUGGAUGGAUCAACGAAUAACAGGAGCACCCUAGAUCCAUUUUACCCUGGCAGAGAUCUGGCAUUAACUACAAGAAAUCUUACCCGUUUGAUUGCUGGGCUAGGGUAGGUCCCUGAAAUUAAUGGGGAGUCGCUAUCAUGGGUAAGAUUCCUCCUGUGUCUGCAGCACCAGACCUCCUCCAGGUCUCUAUGCUCUCCUUCGGACUCUUUCCCCACAACAACUCUAGACAGAUCAGAGAUCCAUUUCCAGAAACCCAUGCACACAGGUUUGUGAUUUUGGAACCACUUCUGGUACCAAAAACUCCAUUACGUUUACAUCAAUAAAACAGAGCCACUAAGAGUACUAUGGAGAGGAGGAUGUAUGACAGGAGUUAGACCUUAUGUAAAUGUAGGGGGAGCUGAGGAAGAGAAGGUCUGGAGGGGAGAUCUAGCCAGCAGAUUUAAUUCAUGAUUAAUGUGACCUCUUAUUCUACUCAAAGGAGAGCAUAUGAUUUGAAAUAAAAAAAUAUUGAUUUUCCUUUGUAAAAGUUGGACCUAAAUAGUGAGCUACUUUUGUCCCGUAAUUGUCUUAAGUUGGCUAAUGGUGGAACAAAUCCUUGAUGCUAGGACUUUGGUUUCCUUGGAAGAACAGGAAAAACAAAAACAAACAACCACAACAACAAAAAAACAAAACCUCAUGCAUAUACAGCCUUACAGGCUCUGUUUUUUGGAGGAAGCAUAAUAAAAAAGAAACAGAAAAUCAGAAUUCUCUUCUGGAACCUACAUUGGGGCUGUCCUCAGAGCAGGCUGUGAUGUGAGGAAUCUAAUCUACGGGGGUAUUUCGCAGCUCAGAGUGCAGCAGACAGUUCCUGACCCCAUGCAUUUGGGGGUGAGACCGGAGACAGUUGAAAAGCUAUGGAGUCUUGAUGUUCUGCACUCUCAACCCUGGCUUCUCCCUGAAUUUCACAGAUUAACAUCAGACCAAUUCACUCCCACUAUUAAAAAUAUUAAAACAAAAACCGAGGAGGAACAGUGAGCAGAAGCAAUAAACUAUUAAAAUGAACAUCUUGAAGAUUUAAAAUUCUGCCAUCAUAAGAUGUGAAUGUUCGAAGAGCUACAUUUAAAUGAAUACAAGAAGGAACUGAAAUGAGGACACGAAAAAAGAGGCUGCCCCAAACCAUCAAAAAACAUUAAAGAAAUAAUCAAAUAGAAUGUCUAGAAACAUUAUGAUUACUCCAGAAAACCAAAUGGAAGCUAAACAGCAGAUUCAAUGCUUCUAAAGAGAUUAGUAGCAAUAUCAAAGAUGGAUCUCAAGAAAUCACCUAGAAUGAAAGAAAAUUAAAUGUAAAAUAUUAAAAAGUGAAGGAACAAGGAAAAAAUUAAGUUUCUAGAAUAUCAGAAAGUAUAUAAUGUUUUAUUGAAAUUUUUAUUUUUUUCUUAUAUAUAAUUGAAGUUUCAGAAAGAGAAAAUAGGGCAAAUGGCCUGAGAUGACUGUGUAUAUGAUAUUAGCUGAGAAUGUUCCUGAGAUGUUUGAGACCGAAAUUCUUGUUCAAGAAUUCAGAUGAAUUGCAAGACGAAUAGGUAGGUCCUAGUGAAAUUGCAGACCACAAAUGACAAAGAGAAGAUUUUAACAGCAGUCAAAAGGGAGAGAUAAAUAUCUUUCAGUGGAAUAGAAUGAGAGAAAUAGUUAAAGUCACGAAAGAGAAUUAAAACUAACUGUUAAAUCAGAAUUGCAGUCCUCAGUUAUUGAAGAUUCAGAUUGAUUUAAAAAAAAUCUAUAGGACAGGAAAAGAAAAUAUGGAACACUAAAAAAAUUCUGUGAGUUUGCCCCCAAGGUAUCUUUUCUGAAUUAUAGUUAACGAGGGUGGGAAAUGAUCCCAGAAGAAAGGCAUGAGGGCAGUUUAUGAGGAAACCCAUGUGAUAGGGCAGUCCCGUUGGGCACGUGUGACUGGGGGAAUGGAGGAGGCUGCGGCAUGAAUGGGGAUGGCAGAGGGGACCCCGACUUGCAGGAAAGACAAUGAGCUCACCCUUUGGUGCCUGGUGUUGGGGUUGCUGUUGGCACAUCCUACAGAACGUGCCCAGCAGACAGAGGAGGGGCUGUGGGAUGAGAAGGUGAACUCGGAGACGCAGCAUGAAGCCUCUCGGUCCAGAUAGUACAGGAGCCCAAAGCGAUGUCCCAUGCAAAUAACGUUGUUUACAAGGAGCGUAUAAAUAUUUAAAGUAAUCAUCCAAGUGUGUUCUAAUAUAAAUCCUGUGUUCCUGAGGUCAUGCAGAUUGGGAGAGGAAGUGAUGUCACUGCGGGAACUUCCGUGUAAGGACAGGGACGUCCCUCUUCCUCUGCUCCUGCUCACAAUGACCCUGAUCUGGUAAAGCUCCCAUCCUGCCCUGACUCUGCCAUGGGCACCAGGCUCCUCUGCUGGGCAGCCCUGUGCCUCCUGGGGGCAGAUCACACAGGUGCUGGAGUUUCCCAGUCCCCCAGGAACAAGGUCACAGAGGAGGGAAAGGAUGUAGUGCUCAGGUGUGAUCCAAUUUCAGGUCAUACCGCCCUUUAUUGGUACCGACAGAGCCUGGGGAAGGGCCUGGAGUUUUUAAUUUACUUCCAAGGCAACGAUGCACCAGACAAAUCAGGGCUGCCCAGUGGUCGGUUCUCUGCAGAGAGGACUGAGGGAUCCGUCUCCACUCUGAAGAUCCAGCGCACAGAGCAGGGGGACUCGGCCGUGUAUCUCUGUGCCAGCAGCUUAGCCACAGCGUGGCACGGUCGCCUCCUUCCUGUUCACAAACCUCAUCCUUCUGUCUCCUUGCAGCAUCUAGAGACCCUUAACAGAGGCUUCUCUUUGCUCCCCGCUCCCCGCUCCCUGUGGGAAACAAGUAGAUUUGGACCUCAGCUGUCCUUUGGGUAGAAAGAGAUCACAGAUUCACCCCUAAGACACAGUAACUGUAAAUGUGGGUGGUGGAAGCAAUCGUGGCCCACUGGACUCUAGGAGUCUUCAGAGCCAGCUCACCGCUCUAAGGCAAGCACUGGGUGUCUUAGCCUCGGCCUUCAGGGCUGGGACAUGCAGUUUUCUUUGGGGCCUGGGAGGUUGCUGCCCGCAUACAGAAGCUUUGGGCAUGGGCAAGGAACAGGCCUGUUCCCCUGCAUGAAUUCGGGCAUCUGGCAUCUGCAAGGUCUGAAGCUUCAUCCACAGGAACAUUUUUUCUUCUGAAGCCUCUUCUAUCCCUGUCACAUUGGAAGUUUUCUGCAGUACCAGAGCAAAACAAUCUUCGUGUUUGACUUCAACAUCCUUGUGGCUUUUGUGACAAUUACUUGAUGAAUACAGCCAUGAUAACAA